RNAcentral lists this ribosomal RNA (497 nucleotides) under uncultured bacterium. Its description in RNAcentral is "partial 16S ribosomal RNA". It matches the Rfam family "Bacterial small subunit ribosomal RNA", at positions 28 to 507 of the family's 1533-position model. The record is from RNAcentral.
GAUGAACGCUGGCGGCGUGCCUAAUACAUGCAAGUCGAGCGAACGGACGAGAAGCUUGCUUCUCUGAUGUUAGCGGCGGACGGGUGAGUAACACGUGGAUAACCUACCUAUAAGACUGGGAUAACUUCGGGAAACCGGAGCUAAUACCGGAUAAUAUUUUGAACCGCAUGGUUCAAAAGUGAAAGACGGUCUUGCUGUCACUUAUAGAUGGAUCCGCGCUGCAUUAGCUAGUUGGUAAGGUAACGGCUUACCAAGGCAACGAUGCAUAGCCGACCUGAGAGGGUGAUCGGCCACACUGGAACUGAGACACGGUCCAGACUCCUACGGGAGGCAGCAGUAGGGAAUCUUCCGCAAUGGGCGAAAGCCUGACGGAGCAACGCCGCGUGAGUGAUGAAGGUCUUCGGAUCGUAAAACCCUGUUACUAGGGAAGAACAUAUGUGUAAGUAACUGUGCACAUCUUGACGGUACCUAAUCAGAAAGCCACGGCUAACUACGUG